GACGAACCGUGCGAACGUUGUUCGGAAUCACUGGGCUUAAAGGGCGCGUAGGCGGGUCACCAAGUCCGGGGUGAAAUCUUUCGGCUUAACCGGAAAACAGCCUUGGAUACUGGUGGUCUCGAGCGAGGUAGGGGCAGCUGGAACUUCCGGUGGAGCGGUGAAAUGCGUUGAUAUCGGAAGGAACGCCGGUGGCGAAAGCGAGCUGCUGGACCUCUUCUGACGCUGAGGCGCGAAAGCCAGGGGAGCAAACGGG
Molecule: ribosomal RNA, 253 nt
Filed under: uncultured bacterium
Lineage: Bacteria
Description: partial 16S ribosomal RNA
Rfam family: Bacterial small subunit ribosomal RNA
Source: RNAcentral